This 2223-nucleotide long non-coding RNA is filed under the name Citrus x clementina. RNAcentral describes it as "Citrus clementina (C. clementina) long non-coding RNA (CCLE_LNC001575)". Lineage: Eukaryota; Viridiplantae; Streptophyta; Magnoliopsida; Sapindales; Rutaceae. The record is from RNAcentral.
UAUAACUGUAUUAUUACUCUUUAAAAUUCACAAACAAACAUUAAGCUACAUUUUGAAUUAGCAGUUUAUUUUAUCCGUAUACCAAAAGCAACACACUUUAGUAACUUAUUUUUUUACACUUCUAAGAAUUAGGAAAAAGACCCGAUACGUCAUGGAAAUGUUGGUCACAAUAUCCUACAUUUUCCGCCAUUCCGCUCUUUAAUUUUAACUCUUUUUUUAUUCUAAUCUUUAAUAUUUCUUUUUCAGGCUUCCUGUGGGAGCAAAAUUUUGGUGCACGGCAAAUCAUUUUCAGGCAAUAAUAAAUCUCUUUAGUUUGGAAUCUUUCGUGGCUUGGAGCUACGAUAGCAAGAAAACAUUGUCGGCAUUUCACAGGGAAUUAAUAGUAGUUUGUGAUCAAUCAAAUUGCAAGAAAAGGACCGAUAUAAUGCCGCCAAUUUUCAAUCAAUCGGAGUGACUAUAAGACAAAGAAAGCACAGCUAGCAUUAUCAAUAAUUCAGAUAAAUCUAAACCAGUCAGUGGAAAAGCUGAAUAGACAGAUAAUGAACCGAUUCUCCUAAAUAUGAGACAGAAUAGCUAUGUCUUCGUGGCUCCUUUUCAAACAGAAAAAUCACCAUCAAUAAUAUAUCUUCCUUGGAAUCUUGCUCCAUUCGACCAAUGAAUUUAGAUAAUAAGUUAGCUAGUGACAAUGCAAAAAAAGGCUUAUCACCAUCAACGAGAGUGACGGCAACACGAAGCAACGCUUGGUGCAAAUAAGUGGAUUAAUCUCUACAUUUCACUUGUAAUAAAAAAUAAAUUUAAUUUUUCCGGUCAACAAUUUUUGUUACUUUGAGUUUCAGACUUUCAGUCAGCGAAAUCUGAAAAAUGAAACCCUAAAUAACUAAUUCGGAAGCUCAAGAUUGAAAUCAAUAAUUUAAAAAUGAUAAUUAUAUGCAUGCUUAUACCACGUAAUGCAUAAUGUUUUUAAUUCAUUUAUUGAUAUUUUAAAUAAUCUCUUGGGUAAAUUUUUUAUUAUUCCGAAUUUAUUAUCUUUAAAUUAUUCCAUUACUAUUAAAAACUUUAAGUUAUUUUAAUUUUUAUUUAAAAAAUGAGAGGAGAGAGCUAAUUUAUAUUUGUUAAAUUAUUUUAAUUAUUAACAAUAUUUUAAUAUGAUUAUUCUACUAAACAAAUUAAACUGUUUAUAUUACAUUUGUAUUUAUUAAAAAUUUUGAUGUUCAAUUGUUUUUUUUAACUCUUUAGAUAAGAAACUCUCCCUAAAUUCUCCCUCUCCGUCACCAAUCAAUCUCCCGAAGUCUGUUUUUGAUCGGCUUUAUAAAGUUAAGGUUUGUAAUGCAAAACUGAAAAUCGUUUUUUCGUCCAUUCGUUGCCCUCUCUUGCUCUUUCUAAGCGUUUUAACCAGACAUCAACUGCCACUUCGGCCUUGGUCGGAGUGGUGGGCUGCUGCCCUCACAAGCAUUGUGAGGGCAGCGGUUCAAGCCCCCACAAAAGCAUUUGUGGGGGCUAACGUGCUUAUUUGUUUAAUAUUUCAAAAAUUUCCUCUCUCUCGUGCAAUACGAGUGGAGUAUGAACAUCCCUCUUCUGUAAGGGAUUAUUUAUCUGGGCAUGUACUUCACAGAAUUCAAUGUAAUAAUAUAAGUCCCAAUCAUGUAUUUCUGAUUGUAAAUAUCAGUGUAAUAUAUCUGCUAUAAUAGCAGUUGUAAAUAUCUGUGUAAUGCAGUAAUAUGAUGAUUAAUCAGUAUUCAAAAAAAAAAAACCAGACAUCAACUUGGUCAAAUUAGUUGACUCAAGUGGUCAAAUUAGUUGACUCAAGUGCCCACGCGAGGACUUAAAUGAUGAAACUAAUGAAUUGGGCACUUGAAGACUCUGCGUUUUGCUUUGGCUUCGAUUAAUGGCCAACAUGUUCCUGGCCUCAAUCUUAUCAACACUCCUAGUUCUCAAGAUUAUAACAAAUAAAAAGAUUAUCUCUUUUGCACUCACAUCGCUUGGAAGUCAAUCUUUUUUUCUGAUUUUUAUCAUGCGGAAAGGUAAUUUACUCUCCACGUGUGUGUGAAUCAUAUCAAGUACCACUCAAAAGCCCAUAAAUCUAUCUCAUACUAAAAAUUAUAAAAUUUAUUUAACACAAAAAUUAUUUCAAAUUUUCAUAAUAAAUAUAAAUAUACUAUUAAAAUAAAUAUAAUAAUUUACAUUUAAAAAAUUAUUUUGUAUAUUAAAAAUAUUCUAAUAUCA